UAUAAAUUAGUGUAUGAUGCACAUAAAUUUUUGAUAUUUAAGGAAAAAGUUUAAAUCUUAUAUUUAUAA
Molecule: transfer RNA, 69 nt
Filed under: Atkinsoniella uniguttata
Lineage: Eukaryota; Metazoa; Arthropoda; Insecta; Hemiptera; Cicadellidae
Description: tRNA-Gln
Source: RNAcentral